UAGGGAAUCUUCGGCAAUGGACGAAAGUCUGACCGAGCAACGCCGCGUGAGUGAAGAAGGUUUUCGGAUCGUAAAACUCUGUUGGUAGAGAAGAACGUUGGUGAGAGUGGAAAGCUCAUCAAGUGACGGUAACUACCCAGAAAGGGACGGCUAACUAAGUGCCAG
Molecule: ribosomal RNA, 165 nt
Filed under: uncultured bacterium
Lineage: Bacteria
Description: partial 16S rRNA
Rfam family: Bacterial small subunit ribosomal RNA
Source: RNAcentral